Small nucleolar RNA from Ursus americanus (American black bear), 126 nucleotides. The record is from Ensembl. Lineage: Eukaryota; Metazoa; Chordata; Mammalia; Carnivora; Ursidae.
AUGCAUCUGCUUGGCAGACAUGGAGCACUUAUUGUGUUCUGGUAAGGUUUUCACUACAGACACAAGACAAAAGUAUCCUGGAGCUUUCUAAGUGUGGCUGCCAAGAUUGAAUGGGGGAAUAUAGUA